AUUAUGUGAAGAUGAGGCACAUCUGAAACCAAGUUCACCUUAUCUGUGGCUCCCUGCUCCAUGGGAGUAAAAUACAUAAAGGAGGAAUUCUUUGAUUCAGAAGGGCAGCUAUUUUCUUUUAUGGCCUCAUUGCUCUUGUAACUUCUUGAACUUUUCCUCUGUACACAGGAGAUGGAGAUUUGUUAUUUUAUUAUUAAGUGCUCUAACUCUGUCUUCUUGGCAUUCAGCCAUAAAGCUCAAAUCUCUACACUUGAAGAACAGAAUUUAGGCCAGAAGAAAUAGAUCUUGCCCUAGCUUUUCCAUUAGAUAUAUAACUAAGUGACCUCGAAUAAACUCCUUAACCUCUCUAUGUCUUACUUUCUUACUUUGUAAGAUGAAGUAGGUAGAAUAGAUGAGCUUGAACAUUUUGUCCAUCACUGACAAUGUCUCCACAUUUCUCCUGUUCAAUCUGGGCUGAGAGAGGUUAAAUCUUAUUGUGCAUCACUAGUCAUUAAUACCGAACAUUAUCAUAAUAGUUUUCUUUCAUUGAGCAUGGACUGCACAUAGAGGCACCAAAGGCACUGCUAAUAUUAUCUGCACUUCUUUAUCCAUUGAGAAUGGAAGGCCUUUAAGGUCAUCAAUGAGAUGGGAUC
Molecule: long non-coding RNA, 632 nt
Filed under: Pan troglodytes (chimpanzee)
Lineage: Eukaryota; Metazoa; Chordata; Mammalia; Primates; Hominidae
Description: long non-coding RNA NONPTRT017740
Source: RNAcentral